RNAcentral lists this ribosomal RNA (409 nucleotides) under uncultured Nitrososphaerota archaeon. Its description in RNAcentral is "bacterial SSU rRNA". It matches the Rfam family "Archaeal small subunit ribosomal RNA", at positions 452 to 861 of the family's 1478-position model. The record is from RNAcentral. Lineage: Archaea; Thermoproteati; Nitrososphaerota.
CUGGUGUCAGCCGCCGCGGUAAUACCAGCACCCCGAGUGGUCGGGACGUUUAUUGGGCCUAAAGCAUCCGUAGCCGGUUCUGCAAGUCUUCCGUUAAAUCCACCUGCUUAACAGAUGGGCCGCGGAAGAUACUAUAGAGCUAGGAGGCGGGAGAGGCAAGCGGUACUCGAUGGGUAGGGGUAAAAUCCGUUGAUCCAUUGAAGACCACCAGUGGCGAAGGCGGCUUGCCAGAACGCGCUCGACGGUGAGGGAUGAAAGCUGGGGGAGCAAACCGGAUUAGAUACCCGGGUAGUCCCAGCUGUAAACGAUGCAGACUCGGUGAUGAAUUGGCUUCAUGCCAAUUCAGUGCCGCAGGGAAGCCGUUAAGUUUGCCGCCUGGGGAGUACGGUCGCAAGACUGAAACUUAAAG